UUGCUUUGGCAGCAUGUAUACUAAAAUUGAAAUGAUACCGAGAAGAUUAGCAUGGCCCCUGAACAAGGAUGACAUGCAAAUUUGUGAAGCAUUCCAUAUUUUU
RNAcentral lists this small nuclear RNA (103 nucleotides) under Monodon monoceros (narwhal). The record is from RNAcentral. Lineage: Eukaryota; Metazoa; Chordata; Mammalia; Artiodactyla; Monodontidae.